Molecule: microRNA precursor, 76 nt
Filed under: Myotis myotis
Lineage: Eukaryota; Metazoa; Chordata; Mammalia; Chiroptera; Vespertilionidae
Also listed under: 1 other name
Description: mir-9229 microRNA precursor family
Rfam family: mir-9229 microRNA precursor family
Source: Rfam by way of RNAcentral
GAGACACCCCUCCGGGGCAAGACUUGCUUCAAUGGAGCUUUGGUGCUCACUGAGUCUGCCCCCUGAGUGUGUCCUU